Molecule: ribosomal RNA, 956 nt
Filed under: Arthrobacter sp.
Lineage: Bacteria; Bacillati; Actinomycetota; Actinomycetes; Micrococcales; Micrococcaceae
Description: bacterial SSU rRNA
Rfam family: Bacterial small subunit ribosomal RNA
Source: RNAcentral
UGCGUAAGAGCUCGUAGGCGGUUUGUCGCGUCUGCUGUGAAAGACCGGGGCUCAACUCCGGUUCUGCAGUGGGUACGGGCAGACUAGAGUGCAGUAGGGGAGACUGGAAUUCCUGGUGUAGCGGUGAAAUGCGCAGAUAUCAGGAGGAACACCGAUGGCGAAGGCAGGUCUCUGGGCUGUAACUGACGCUGAGGAGCGAAAGCAUGGGGAGCGAACAGGAUUAGAUACCCUGGUAGUCCAUGCCGUAAACGUUGGGCACUAGGUGUGGGGGACAUUCCACGUUUUCCGCGCCGUAGCUAACGCAUUAAGUGCCCCGCCUGGGGAGUACGGCCGCAAGGCUAAAACUCAAAGGAAUUGACGGGGGCCCGCACAAGCGGCGGAGCAUGCGGAUUAAUUCGAUGCAACGCGAAGAACCUUACCAAGGCUUGACAUGAACCGGUAAUACCUGGAAACAGGUGCCCCGCUUGCGGUCGGUUUACAGGUGGUGCAUGGUUGUCGUCAGCUCGUGUCGUGAGAUGUUGGGUUAAGUCCCGCAACGAGCGCAACCCUCGUUCUAUGUUGCCAGCGGUUCGGCCGGGGACUCAUAGGAGACUGCCGGGGUCAACUCGGAGGAAGGUGGGGACGACGUCAAAUCAUCAUGCCCCUUAUGUCUUGGGCUUCACGCAUGCUACAAUGGCCGGUACAAAGGGUUGCGAUACUGUGAGGUGGAGCUAAUCCCAAAAAGCCGGUCUCAGUUCGGAUUGGGGUCUGCAACUCGACCCCAUGAAGUCGGAGUCGCUAGUAAUCGCAGAUCAGCAACGCUGCGGUGAAUACGUUCCCGGGACCUUGUACACACCCGCCCGUCAAGUCACGAAAAGUUGGUAACACCCCGAAGCCGGUGGCCCUAACCCUUGUGGGGGGAGCCGUCGAAGGUGGGACCGGCGAUUGGGACUAAGUCGUAACAAGGGUAACCAGCU